GACGAACGCUGGCGGCGUGCUUAACACAUGCAAGUCGAACGAUGACGACCGAGCUUGCUCGGUCUGAUUAGCGGCGAGCGGGUGAGUAACACGUGAGCAACCUGCCCUUCACUCUGGGAUAACCUCGGGAAAUCGGGGCUAAUACCGGAUAUGAUCUCCUGUCGCAUGGCGGGUGUUGGAAAGUUUUUCGGUGCAGGAUGGGCUCGCGGCCUAUCAGUUUGUUGGUGGGGUAGUGGUUCACCAAGGCGAUGACGGGUAGCCGGCCUGAGAGGGCGAACGGCCACACUGGGACUGAGAGACGGCCCAGACGCCUACGGGAGGCAGCAGGGGGGAAUAUUGCACAAUGGGCGAAAGCCUGAUGCAGCGACGCCGCGUGAGUGAUGACGGCCUUCGGGUUGUAAACCUCUUUCAGCAGGGAAGAAGCGAAAGUGACGGUACCUGCAGAAGAAGCGCCGGCUAACUACGUG
This 467-nucleotide ribosomal RNA is filed under the name uncultured bacterium. RNAcentral describes it as "partial 16S ribosomal RNA". It matches the Rfam family "Bacterial small subunit ribosomal RNA", at positions 28 to 507 of the family's 1533-position model. The record is from RNAcentral.